This is a non-coding RNA of Rattus norvegicus (Norway rat), 69 nucleotides long. NCBI's taxonomy places the organism in Eukaryota, Metazoa, Chordata, Mammalia, Rodentia, Muridae. The record is from Rfam.
GGGGAUUUAGCUCAGCGGUAGAGCACUUGCCUAGCAAGCACAAGGCCCUGGGUUCGAUCCCCAGCUCCG